CCCUUAGAUGUCCUGGGCCGCACGCGCGCUACACUGACGGAGCCAGCGAGCUUACCCCUUUGCCGAAAGGCAUGGGAAAUCUUUUGAAUCUCCGUCGUGCUGGGGAUAGAUCAUUGCAAUUAUUGAUCUUGAACGAGGAAUUCCUAGUAGGCGCAAGUCAUCAGCUUGCGUCGAUUACGUCCCUGCCCUUUGUACACACCGCCCGUCGCUCCUACCGAUUGGGUGUGCUGGUGAAAUGUUCGGAUCGGCCGUUUGUCGCGGUUUCCGCGGCUCGUGGCUGAGAAGUUCAUUAAACCCUCCCACCUAGAGGAAGGAGAAGUCGUAACA
Molecule: ribosomal RNA, 327 nt
Filed under: uncultured eukaryote
Lineage: Eukaryota
Description: partial 18S ribosomal RNA
Rfam family: Eukaryotic small subunit ribosomal RNA
Source: RNAcentral